UGAAUGCCGCCUCCGGCGAUCGCCGGCGUCCGAGCCUCAGAUGUCCCCGACCCGUUGGAUACGAAAUGCCUCGCCUGCCAGCACUAUGCAACCCAGCCGCAGUGCAGGCGUGCAGGCAUUGGAUUAAUGAUCAAAGGAGAGAAAAAUAUAGCUUGGCCAAGUCACGACAGCUAAAAAAUCAUGAUGAAGCAUUUCAGCAUACUUCAACGAUGAUAUUCUUGGAUAUCAACAGGAAACAUGGUGCUACUGUGGAUACCAUCAUCAUUAAACGGGGCUGUAUAGUCAGGUGUAUAUACAUGUGAAAUGUUGUAAUC
Triticum dicoccoides is the source of this 314-nucleotide long non-coding RNA. RefSeq lists it as uncharacterized. NCBI's taxonomy places the organism in Eukaryota, Viridiplantae, Streptophyta, Magnoliopsida, Poales, Poaceae. The transcript is spliced from 3 exons. The record is from RefSeq and is a predicted model, not a curated record.